This 253-nucleotide ribosomal RNA is filed under the name uncultured bacterium. RNAcentral's name for it is "partial 16S ribosomal RNA". It matches the Rfam family "Bacterial small subunit ribosomal RNA", at positions 524 to 776 of the family's 1533-position model. The record is from RNAcentral.
UACGAAGGGUGCAAGCGUUACUCGGAAUUACUGGGCGUAAGGCGUGCGUAGGUGGUUGUUUAAGUCUGUUGUGAAAGCCCUGGGCUCAACCUGGGAACUGCAGUGGAAACUGGACAACUAGAGUGUGGUAGAGGGUAGCGGAAUUCCCGGUGUAGCAGUGAAAUGCGUAGAGAUCGGGAGGAACAUCCAUGGCGAAGGCAGCUACCUGGACCAACACUGACACUGAGGCACGAAAGCGUGGGGAGCAAACAGG